GUCCGGACUGGCCCAGAGAGGUGGGCAACUACCACUCAGGGCCGGAAAGCUCUCCAAACUCGGUCAUUUAGAGGAAGUAAAAGUCGUAACAAGGUCUCCGUUGGUGAACCAGCGGAGGGAUCAUUA
This 126-nucleotide ribosomal RNA is filed under the name Tolypocladium sp. 20102666. RNAcentral describes it as "partial 18S ribosomal RNA". It matches the Rfam family "Eukaryotic small subunit ribosomal RNA", at positions 1708 to 1831 of the family's 1831-position model. The record is from RNAcentral. Lineage: Eukaryota; Fungi; Ascomycota; Sordariomycetes; Hypocreales; Ophiocordycipitaceae. RNAcentral also lists the same sequence under 1 other name.